AAGAGACAGCUUGGUCAUUUAGAGGGCCUCCAUGAAGUAUAUUGUCAAAAGCUUUGGCUGAAUGUUGGGGAGUGGCAUUUAGCACAGGCGACUACCGGAGUCGAUAGAGGAUCACAUGUGCUUACUUGAGCACACAGACUCCCAUUAGGACGAGCGCAAUAUGACGGGCCCUCCGCUUUCAGGCUAGCUCUAGACUGCGUUGAUGCCUUCAGUAUUCCUGAACUAUGCCUCUA
This 233-nucleotide unclassified non-coding RNA is filed under the name fungal sp. RNAcentral describes it as "partial internal transcribed spacer region". The record is from RNAcentral. Lineage: Eukaryota; Fungi.